AGAAAUAUGUCUGAAAAAAGAGUUACUUUGAUAGAGUAAAUUAUAGAGGUUCAAACCCUCUUAUUUCUA
Molecule: transfer RNA, 69 nt
Filed under: Clethrionomys centralis (Tien shan red-backed vole)
Lineage: Eukaryota; Metazoa; Chordata; Mammalia; Rodentia; Cricetidae
Description: Myodes centralis (Tien shan red-backed vole) tRNA-Ile
Rfam family: tRNA
About the family: Transfer RNA (tRNA) molecules are approximately 80 nucleotides in length. Their secondary structure includes four short double-helical elements and three loops (D, anti-codon, and T loops). Further hydrogen bonds mediate the characteristic L-shaped molecular structure. tRNAs have two regions of fundamental functional importance: the anti-codon, which is responsible for specific mRNA codon recognition, and the 3' end, to which the tRNAs corresponding amino acid is attached (by aminoacyl-tRNA synthetases). tRNAs cope with the degeneracy of the genetic code in two manners: having more than one tRNA (with a specific anti-codon) for a particular amino acid; and 'wobble' base-pairing, i.e. permitting non-standard base-pairing at the 3rd anti-codon position.
Source: RNAcentral